This 108-nucleotide small nuclear RNA is filed under the name Microcebus murinus (gray mouse lemur). The record is from RNAcentral. Lineage: Eukaryota; Metazoa; Chordata; Mammalia; Primates; Cheirogaleidae.
GUGCUCACUUUGGCAGCACAUAUACUAAAAUUGGAAAUGAUACAGAGAAAAUUAGCAUGGCCCCUGCGCAAGGAUGACACAUAAAUUAGUGAAGCGUUCGUAUUUUUA